RNAcentral lists this ribosomal RNA (497 nucleotides) under uncultured bacterium. RNAcentral describes it as "partial 16S ribosomal RNA". It matches the Rfam family "Bacterial small subunit ribosomal RNA", at positions 28 to 507 of the family's 1533-position model. The record is from RNAcentral.
GAUGAACGCUGGCGGCGUGCCUAAUACAUGCCAGUCGAGCGAACAGACGAGGAGCUUGCUCCUCUGACGUUAGCGGCGGACGGGUGAGUAACACGUGGAUAACCUACCUAUAAGACUGGGAUAACUUCGGGAAACCGGAGCUAAUACCGGAUAAUAUAUUGAACCGCAUGGUUCAAUAGUGAAAGACGGUUUUGCUGUCACUUAUAGGUGGAUCCGCGCCGCAUUAGCUAGUUGGUAAGGUAACGGCUUACCAAGGCAACGAUGCGUAGCCGACCUGAGAGGGUGAUCGGCCACACUGGAACUGAGACACGGUCCAGACUCCUACGGGAGGCAGCAGUAGGGAAUCUUCCGCAAUGGGCGAAAGCCUGACGGAGCAACGCCGCGUGAGUGAUGAAGGUCUUCGGAUCGUAAAACUCUGUUAUUAGGGAAGAACAAAUGUGUAAGUAACUAUGCACGUCUUGACGGUACCUAAUCAGAAAGCCACGGCUAACUACGUG